AACCUGGUAGCUUAGUUGGUAGAGCAACAGGGCGUAAACCUGAAAGACCUGGGUUCGUAUCUAAGUCGAGGUUG
This is a non-coding RNA of Henosepilachna vigintioctopunctata, 74 nucleotides long. The record is from the annotation of a GenBank genome assembly. Lineage: Eukaryota; Metazoa; Arthropoda; Insecta; Coleoptera; Coccinellidae.